ACGCUGGCGGCGUGCUUAACACAUGCAAGUCGAACGCUGAAGCCCAGCUUGCUGGGUGGAUGAGUGGCGAACGGGUGAGUAACACGUGGGUAACCUGCCCCCUUCUUUGGGAUAACGCCCGGAAACGGGUGCUAAUACUGGAUAUUCACUUGCCUUCGCAUGGGGGUUGGUGGAAAGGUUUUUUCUGGUGGGGGAUGGGCUCGCGGCCUAUCAGCUUGUUGGUGGGGUGAUGGCCUACCAAGGCUUUGACGGGUAGCCGGCCUGAGAGGGUGACCGGUCACAUUGGGACUGAGAUACGGCCCAGACUCCUACGGGAGGCAGCAGUGGGGAAUAUUGCACAAUGGGCGAAAGCCUGAUGCAGCGACGCCGCGUGAGGGAUGGAGGCCUUCGGGUUGUAAACCUCUUUCGCUCAUGGUCAAGCCCCAGCUUUGGGUUGUGGUGAGGGUAGUGGGUAAAGAAGCGCCGGCUAACUACGUGCCAGCAGCCGCGGUAAUACGUAGGGCGCGAGCGUUGUCCGGAAUUAUUGGGCGUAAAGGGCUUGUAGGCGGUUGGUCGCGUCUGCCGUGAAAUCCUCUGGCUUAACUGGGGGCGUGCGGUGGGUACGGGCUGACUUGAGUGCGGUAGGGGAGACUGGAACUCCUGGUGUAGCGGUGGAAUGCGCAGAUAUCAGGAAGAACACCGGUGGCGAAGGCGGGUCUCUGGGCCGUUACUGACGCUGAGGAGCGAAAGCGUGGGGAGCGAACAGGAUUAGAUACCCUGGUAGUCCACGCUGUAAACGUUGGGCACUAGGUGUGGGGGCCACCCGUGGUUUCUGCGCCGUAGCUAACGCUUUAAGUGCCCCGCCUGGGGAGUACGGCCGCAAGGCUAAAACUCAAAGGAAUUGACGGGGGCCCGCACAAGCGGCGGA
This 907-nucleotide ribosomal RNA is filed under the name uncultured bacterium. Its description in RNAcentral is "bacterial SSU rRNA". It matches the Rfam family "Bacterial small subunit ribosomal RNA", at positions 33 to 936 of the family's 1533-position model. The record is from RNAcentral.